Molecule: ribosomal RNA, 301 nt
Filed under: uncultured bacterium
Lineage: Bacteria
Description: partial 16S ribosomal RNA
Rfam family: Bacterial small subunit ribosomal RNA
Source: RNAcentral
CAGCCGCCGCGGUAAUACGUAGGGUGCAAGCGUUGUCCGGAAUUAUUGGGCGUAAAGAGCUCGUAGGCGGUUUGUCGCGUCUGCUGUGAAAUCCCGAGGCUCAACCUCGGGCUUGCAGUGGGUACGGGCAGACUAGAGUGCGGUAGGGGAGAUUGGAAUUCCUGGUGUAGCGGUGGAAUGCGCAGAUAUCAGGAGGAACACCGAUGGCGAAGGCAGAUCUCUGGGCCGUAACUGACGCUGAGGAGCGAAAGCGUGGGGAGCGAACAGGAUUAGAUACCCCAGUAGUCCCUGUCUCUUAUAC